RNAcentral lists this ribosomal RNA (270 nucleotides) under uncultured archaeon. Its description in RNAcentral is "partial 16S ribosomal RNA". It matches the Rfam family "Archaeal small subunit ribosomal RNA", at positions 477 to 747 of the family's 1478-position model. The record is from RNAcentral.
CAGCACCUCAAGUGGUCAGGAUGAUUAUUGGGCCUAAAGCAUCCGUAGCCGGCGCUGUAAGUUUUCGGUUAAAUCUGUACGCUCAACGUACAGGCUGCCCGGAAUACUGCAGCGCUAGGGAGUGGGAGAGGUAGACGGUACUCGGUAGGAAGGGGUAAAAUCCUUUGAUCUAUUGAUGACCACCUGUGGCGAAGGCGGUCUACCAGAACACGUCCGACGGUGAGGGAUGAAAGCUGGGGGAGCGAACCGGAUUAGAUACCCGAGUAGUCC